Molecule: long non-coding RNA, 1027 nt
Filed under: Vigna radiata
Lineage: Eukaryota; Viridiplantae; Streptophyta; Magnoliopsida; Fabales; Fabaceae
Description: long non-coding RNA (VRAD_LNC000034)
Source: RNAcentral
AGCAAAGGAAUGGUGUUGCGUGGAAAAGUGACGCAGUGAUGAGAGAGAAAGCACAAUGGUAAAAUUGGAAACCUAUUUGAACAGAAAUGAAACUCAAUCAGAGAAACAAUCAAGACAGUGAAGGCAAUGCAAUGAACAACACGGAAACAUGAAGAGAAAUUGCACAAGAUACUCAAGAUACUCAGAAUCAAACGAAACUCAGACAACUCAAGAUCAAAACCAAAACAGAAGCGAGACUCAGAAUCAAAUGAAACAACUCAUACCGAAUCAGAAUCAAGACAAAAUCGAAACAAGAUGAAAAAAAAACAAAAUCAGAGAUAGACAGAGAUACUUAUCUGUUGAAGCGUGCUCAAACCGAGCUCUGAAUACCACUUGAUACGCUCGGCUCUGGCGAAGAUCAUAGAUCGGACACAGAUCGAGUUGAGAAGACGACAAAAGACACAACGGAAUGGAGGAAAUGUGAGAUAGAACUCACGGAAACCCUAAAUNAAGGGGAAAACCAUAAAUCGAANGGAGAAACACCGAUUGGANCNAUUAANCGGUGUAAAANGNAUAUUAAACGGUGGAAAUGGUUCAACAGAGGUUUUAAUCGGAGGAUUUGGGAAACAAUCGAUGAAAGGUGAUGGAAAACCUAAAAAUGGAGGUUCUAGGGUUUAGAAAUUCAAGGCAAGAAGAGGAAAGGUUAGAUCUGUGAGGAGGAAUGGGUUUUACCGGUGAAAAGAAGUACCAAUGGUGAUGGAUNUGUGGUUGAAGCUUGAGAGCGAGACGAGCUCUCGAGGAGGCGCGAGUAAUGUGUGUCUGAUGUGCGAGAAUGAAAAUGAAGCACUGAUGAUAUGGUAGGUUUGUGACGCAUACACGAGACACUGAACAUGUGUCACGGGAGAAUGGAUUCGUGUGGAGGAGGGAGAAGCACUGUGGAUAAUUGGAAAUUGGAAAAUAAUGAAGUGUGCUUUGGAAGGAGGCUAGAGGUCUUUGGACUCUCUAGCCAAUGACUUUUAAGAGAGAAUAAUUUUCUGAAUUAGAAAAG